UACGUAGGGGGCAAGCGUUGUCCGGAAUCAUUGGGCGUAAAGAGCGCGUAGGCGGCCCAGUAAGUCCGCUCUGAAAGUCAGGGGCUCAACCCCUGAAUGCGGGUGGAUACUGCUGGGCUAGAGUCCGGAAGAGGCGAGUGGAAUUCCUGGUGUAGCGGUGAAAUGCGCAGAUAUCAGGAGGAACACCGAUGGCGAAGGCGGCUCACUGGUCCGGUACUGACGCUGAGGUGCGAAAGCGUGGGGAGCGAACAGG
This 253-nucleotide ribosomal RNA is filed under the name uncultured bacterium. RNAcentral describes it as "partial 16S ribosomal RNA". It matches the Rfam family "Bacterial small subunit ribosomal RNA", at positions 524 to 776 of the family's 1533-position model. The record is from RNAcentral.